Long non-coding RNA from Raphanus sativus (radish), 1665 nucleotides. RefSeq lists it as uncharacterized. The record is from RefSeq and is a predicted model, not a curated record. The transcript has 3 exons. NCBI's taxonomy places the organism in Eukaryota, Viridiplantae, Streptophyta, Magnoliopsida, Brassicales, Brassicaceae.
GAAAAUUGCUGAUUUUUCUCCCUAACAAUAUUAACCAAAUAUGAUUAACAAUAUUUUAAAUUUUGGCUACUAAAAAAAAAUUGUGUAACCGUUUUAGAAUAUCCAUAUCCCAAAUCACAUUUAUAACAAACUAAAAGAGCAUAUUUGCAUAUACCAAAAAAGUAAAUAAUAUCUUAGCAGAUAUAUUUCUCCUUUUUUCAGUUUCAAAAUUAUCAUUUCAAUUUUUCAUAACGAAUCCAAAGAGAAUAUACUCCUAAUUAUACCAAAACUCGGUUCGCAAGGCAUAUCUUUAUAAAUAUCUUUAAACGAAAAUCUUUAAUAUCCAUGUAUCCUCUUUAAACCUAUUUAUUUUGCUAUAUAUACUAUCUAAGCGACACAUUCAAUCUAAACUAAAGCACACAACUUAAGCAAACAAAAUAAAUGCUACACCAAAGUUAUCAUAUACAUGUCCGAUAUCAAGCUUUACAAAACUGAAUGGUGGAUCGCAGUGAAAGUUGUUCACACCAGAUAACAAUUCAGUGAACAAUUUGGUGAGACAUUGGAACUCAUUUUCUCUGACAAGAAGGAUCAAAAAAUCAUGCAUCAUGCAAAAAACUACUUGCUUAGUUUGGGCAGGGACUUCCAUGUGGGUGAUUGGAAAAACAGAGAAUUAUUUCCACUAAGUGCAGCAGCUGGUGGAUACUAACCUACCACUCACGUUAUAAAAUGGGGUUUAUGAAGUUCACCUCCAUUACUCCAUAUAAAUUCAGUAAUAUGAUGUUGUGGAACAAGCCAUAGAUAUUGUAGAAAAAAGCCAUUAAACGUAAGUAACCACCUUCUUUUAAAAAAAACGAAACCACCUUCUACAGCCGCUUAUAAACUCCUAUUUUAUAGGCUAUGUAUAAGGCAACAAAUAAAAAAUAUCGAACUCAUAUUUGGUACAUAAAUAUACGGAAUUUAAAUUUAUGAUCUACAAAGUAUAUUUUUGGAAGUAAAUUUAAGAUUACUAAAACUAUUUAAGUUAAUAUUAUUAUGGAAUUAUUAUUUAUAAAAAUAUAUACUUAUGAAGAGACCAGUUAUAGUCAAUAUGUGACCUCACAACCCAUCCAUACAUAGUGUUAUUUGCUUAAUUGUUACUCUAAUGGUGAAAUGAUAAGAAUUUAUUUAACGGAUUUUAAAUAGGUUAUUAAAAAAAAAAUAUUUACUAAAUGUGAUUUUACUUGAAGUUAGUGAAGAACAUAUCAACCCAUUUGUAAAUAUAUAUAACAAAAUAUAUUAAAAUUAUUUUUUUAAGACAUUUUUCAAAAAAAAAACGGUUUUCGGUGCGGGUUAGAUUUAAUAUUGGUUUUUGGAUAUAACACUUUUAAGAACCGUUCGAGUAUAUAUGUCAAGUCUAACAGAGCACGAGACUUUGAUUUUCGAGUCGAUUCCGAAUCGGAUUCUUUGGGUACGAAACAUUCUUAACUAAUUAUGUUAGGAAACUACUAAAAAAAUAUAAUAUGUUGCAAACUUUAAAAAUAAAUUAUUAAAAUAAUCUCUUAUAUGCAUAUGACACCAAUAUAUAGUUAUACAACUUGACAUAUUUAAUAUAUUUACCAAAAAUUUACUAAAUUAAAUUAAUAUUAAACACAAAUAUGAUUAAGAAAAUAACACAAAUAUAAAAAUUAAAUUUCUCAAAAAAAUUAA